This is an RNA transcript of Cimex lectularius (bed bug), 5140 nucleotides long. It is a transcript of the gene named golgin subfamily A member 6-like protein 22, with no coding region annotated. The record is from RefSeq and is a predicted model, not a curated record. The transcript has 14 exons. NCBI's taxonomy places the organism in Eukaryota, Metazoa, Arthropoda, Insecta, Hemiptera, Cimicidae.
GACAUCCUUCGCACUCUCAUUUCGUCCAGCUUCGCCCGGAACAAGAACGAGACAAAGUCGCUUUCCUGUUUUUCGCCCUUCGCCAUUCUCAACACCCUCCGCGGUUUUGCGCUCAACUCUUGUUUUUGUUUUUUUUCAAACAACAUCCACUUCGGUUUGUAAAUUUAGAAGUUUAUUUCGAGUCGAGUAGCGCGAAAGUGGGAGUUUAGGAAACUCCAGGCCUGGUCAGUUGCCACGAUGAGUCCGCCGACGGAUCCGCUUUGAAUAUGUUUAACUUUUUCAAAAAGAAAAAAGAUGUCCACGCGAAAGGGAGGAGGCAGAAGAGGCACCCGGAGCCAGAGAGGCCGCCGAGAAAGACGGAAGUGAAGAAACUAGUUGAAAUGGGCAACAACUAUUCUAAAUUGGACGACUGCAAUAAAGACGGGAUAUCGCCCAUUGAAACUAACCAGUUCGAUCGAAUUCCAAUGUCUCCAGCAGUAAACGCGUCUCAAGAAGAUGGGCCUUCUUCUAAAAAACUUACAACUGGAAUAAACAUUUAUGAGAAAUUUUCCAAUACAGAAGGAUCUUGUAAAAUAGAAAAUGAUGAUUUGCUUAAAACAAACACAAUAUUGUAUAAUUCAUACAAUGAAAAACCCCUUAAAGAUGUAAAUACUUCCGAAUACGGCUCACAGACUAACACUGUAAUACAAAAAAUUGAUAAAGCUGACACCUCGUGUACAAUAAACAAUGAAACUGGGAAAAUAAACUUGAAAGAAGGCGUUUUGAAAGGAAACGAAGUUUUAGAUAAAAAUAUUUCUGAUGUUCAAUUGGAUGAAAUAGCUUUUAUAGAGGAAAUGGGAAAGGGAAAGAUAGAUCUUCAAGAUAUAACAUUAAUGCAGGAAAAAGAAAUUGUUUUAACUGAAGUCGCUGCUGUGCCUCAAAUCGACGAAGAGGUAGAACAAGAAAUCGACGAAAGUUUAGCGGAUUUUACUAAUUCCGAUCCAGUAACUUGCGAAGAAGAUCUCAGCAACAAUGUCGUAAACAAAUGUGAAAAUAUAAAAUUAAAUAUUGAGGAGAUAAAAUACGAAAUGAUUCCAGAAAAGACUGAUAAUUUAAAGACUGCCGUCGAUAGUGAGAGCCCAGAAAUACUGAAGAAGAACAUAAACGAUUCACGUGCGAAGUUUUUCGACGAGCUGUUGGGAGGGGACCGAAAAGGGAAGGACGGGGAGGCCGAUGCCAAGACCGAGCCAGUCAAGAAAGAGUCACCGAGCGAUGAGGAGAUGAUUAGCCUGAGGUCAAUUGGUCUUAUCGAGUCUUUUCCGUCGAUCCGCGAGGAAGAUGAAGAAGAGCCGAAAUUCUUAAAAAAGAAGAAACACGUCCAUUGGGCGGAUUCGGAAGAAGGCAGAUGUCUAGAGAGUUACGAGGAGUUUUUGACGCCGUCAUCUUCCUCGGAGGACGAGGAGGUGGACGACGACGGCGAAGAGAAAGACGUCGACGGGGAUAGUGACGAAGUCGACGAAGACAGUCUUGAAGAAGAGUGCGACGAAGAACAGGCUGAAGACAUCAUUCCCGACGAUUGGCGUCAAGACGAUGAACCCGCGAAAGCCAAAAUCGAAUCCGAUUCUGAAGAAGAGUCAGAAAAAGAUAGUGAGAACGAGGAAGAAGAUGACGAGACUGACGAGACUGAAGAAGAAGAACAAGAAGAAAACAAUGAAGUUAUAGAAGAAUGUGUGAAACAGGCUACAAAAGAAAAUUUGGAUAGCGUUACCAAACCAGAGGAAAAAGAGGCCAUCAAAAACGACGACAGCCAGGAAGUCACCUCGCUUUAUUCCAAGCUGACUGAACUUCAAAAAGACCUACUUCAAAAGGCAUCGACUUUGGAGAGAGCUCAAACAGAACUCGAAGAUGCUUAUAAUGAAGCAGAUUAUGUUAAAAGAAAAGUUGAAAAACUUGAAUCCGACCUCGAGGAGCAAAAACAGCGAAAUUCAGAACUUGCAAGGAGAUUAAGUGAAGAUUAUGCCAACGCAGAAGACAGAAAACGGCUGAAAGAUGCUGAUAUCAAAAUAGCAGAGCUGGAGUUUAAAGUGAGAGAGAUCAGAGGUGAAAAGGAAAAACUCGAAGAAUCUCUGUCGGUUCUUAAGAUGGAGAGAGACGCUGAGUUACGGCGAGUUAAAGAUGCGCUCAAUGCGGCAUUAGCGGAGAAAAAGGAACAGGAGGCCAAGUAUCAAAAGGAAUUUGAAACGUUGAGAACGUUAAACUCCGGCAGAGAGGUUCAGAUGCUCGAAGAUUUUGAAUGGAAACUCAGAGAAGUUGAAAAAUUGGGUAAAAAGAAAAUAGCAGAAGCAAUAGAAGACAGAGAAAAAAAGAUAAUCGAGUUGUCAUCUAAACUCGAACAAGCCGAAGCUGACUUGGUGCAAUUGGUCGAGCUGAAAGCAUAUGAGGAAGAGUUAAAGCAACUCAAGGCGACAUACUCUGAGCAAAGGAAAAAUCUACGUAUCAUCCAGAGGAAAUAUGAAGAUAUUCAAGUUAACGAAAUGAUUCUUCAAGAAGAAGUGAAUCGGCUGCGAAUAGCCAUCGACAAAGAAAAGUCUGCUAUAACUAACCUUCAGGCACUCCACAGAGAAGAAAUUUCAGAAAAAGACAGAAAAAUGCUUUUUAAACUAGAAUAUCAAAAGAAUCAAUUGAAUUCUGAGUGGGAGGAGAAACUAAAAAGAGACUGUGCUAAACUAAAAUCAGAUCUGGAAAGAACGUUUAGAGAAGAAAGGAUGUCUGCUGUUGAUACUGCUAAAAGGUUAAAAGACCAAGAGCUUGCAAACCAAAGAUACAACUAUGAGAAAAAAAUUGAAGAUCUUAAAACAGAGAUCGAGGGAUAUAAAGAAAGGUUAAAAUUCAAAGAAGGCAAGCAUCAAAUGGAAUUGCAGAAAGCACAGACGAGUGCAGACAGAGAAGCGCUUGACAUGAGACGGCAGCUCGACAAGCUGGACAUGUCUUACCAAGAAAAAAUAGAAAAACUACAAGAAGACCACGAGAAAGAAAUAAACUCAUUAAAGGUAGAACAUGAAAAAAAGAUAGCUCAGUGUGAAUCAUCAUUACAACAGCAAUUAGGCACUACGAGGACAACAUUAGAGCUCGUUAAACAAAGUAUGCAAGACGAGAAUCAGAAAAAGAUUGAACAACUUGUUCGAAAGCAUGAACAAAAAAUGGCUGAACAAUGGGACAAAUGGGAAAGAGCUAAAGAAAUGGAAAUUCAGGAAUUGCAGAGCAGCCAUAGAAAAACCGUGGAACUGCUCCAGUUGCAAUUAGACGUCCUUAGAAAGUCGAAAAGCCAGAGGAUUGAGGCUGCUCCAUCAGAAUCAGCACCAAAGCACAGUACUGAUUUAGUACUGGUUGGAGACCCCUCGGCAAAAAUCUCCCACAACCCUUUGAGUGUCGGAAACAUCAUUUUCCUCACUCUCUUCCUUUCGUCCGUGUUUCCUUUUAUGUCUCCGACUACAUUUUCAUUUACGUCAAUUGUUGUGAUGUUAUAUUGCAUGGUUUUCAUGCGGUGAUAAAUAUUUAUGAAUAUUUCUGGGCGUAUUUUAAGUGUAAAUAUUAAGUACAAUAUUGUUUUGUUUUUAAAAUAUAUAUAUUAGCUUAAAGCUAGAUUUUGAUACAAAAAGAUUUUUUAUUUUUGAUGAGUUUUGCAUUUCUAAAAAAUUGCUUUUUAUCAAUGGUAAAGGAGUUGAUACGUUUCUUACAAUCUUGAAAUUAUCUUCUAAUAUCAUUAAUAAAUUAAAAUGCUAAGUGACAAAUUAACUUUUAUGAUUGAAAGGUAAUAUAGUAAAAACUGCUUUUCUAUAACUAUAAAGUAUUUUUUAUACAUACAAAUUUGUAGUUUUGCUUUUUUUGAGCCCAACUUGUGUUCAAUACUGAACAAAAUAUUUUAUAAUUAAAAACAAAAAAAAAUUAAGUUAUAACACAAUUUUACAAUAAUAUAUAAGGUUUUGCUUUAUUUCAAAAUAUCCGUCUGCUUCUUAUGACAUGUUUAGAUGCAUCGUAACACAUUAAUAUCAUUAUAAAUAUCACAAAAUCUCUGUACAGUGAAUUCAAUGUCUGAAUACUCACUUUGAUUUUGUAAUUUAUGACCACAAAAAAAUAAUUAACAACUUAAUAAAAAUUAUUAUUACAGACCACUAUGUAACCACAAUAAAUAUUAUAUUUGGAAUGCUGAUUUUUUUUUUUUAUCUAUAGCCUAUGUAAUGAAUGUUUGAUAAAUUAAAUAUUUAGUCAAUACUGUGUCAUGGACAUAGUAAAUGAGUUCCUUUCAAUUUAAAGCAUGGAUGUUCUUUAUUUUAUUAAACAUUGUGUAGUCUCUAGUAAACCAAUGAAUGAGAAUGAACACAGAUUAAAAUAAUUAAGGAAGUGUAACUAAAGAGUAAAGGUAGAACAGGGCAUCGUCUCGUUAACAACAAAUAACAAUCAUGGUACUUAAAUGAAAGAAACACCCAUUUACUCAUUUGUGCUGUUACAAAAGUUACUUUUUUUUCUUUCCAGUUUGUUUUCAUUUAUACCUCUCACUGUGCAGAUUUUAUAUAACAAAUUCAUUCAUUCAUUUCUUUAACAAUCACCAAGUAAAAAAUCUUUUGAGAUAAAAUAAAAUAAAACGACAAAGAGAGUGAUUGAAAAGAAAAGCCCGUGCUCCAUCCGUUGAACCUUUCUAUUCCUGUCUGGACAGCUCCAGAUUAGAACCUGAAAGAUGCCCAAAAGAGGAAAACAUCGAGGGGAACUUUCCUUCUGGUGAAAAGGAUUUCAAGCACACCGACAAUGAUAAAAAAACCGAUGAUAAUUUAAGGUUAGAGGAAGUCGAAGAAAUAGAAGAAAAUUUAGAAAUACCUCGAGAUGUAGCAAAAGUACAUCAACAACCACAACAACAACAACCACGCCCCCACCAUAGGCACAGGAGAAGUAGAAAAGGGAGAAGAAAUUAAGACUAUUGAUUCAUUUUAAAUGCCAAGAAAUGUUUAAGACUGCUAUCAAAUUUUUCCCUUUAAAAAUUGACUUGAGGUAGGUUGAGUAGGAUUUAAGACAAAAGACUUUUUGUCAGUAUUUUUCUCCGAGUUGUGUUCCUAAUGGCAGAAAGAAAUGGCGAAUUAAAAAAAAAAAAACUUUAAAAAACGAACAA